GCGAAACUGCGAAUGGCUCAUUAAAUCAGUUAUAGUUUAUUUGAUAGUACCUUACUACAUGGAUAACCGUGGUAAUUCUAGAGCUAAUACAUGCUAAAAACCCCGACUUCGGAAGGGGUGUAUUUAUUAGAUUAAAAACCAAUGCCCUUCGGGGCUAACUGGUGAUUCAUAAUAACUUCUCGAAUCGCAUGGCCUUGCGCUGGCGAUGGUUCAUUCAAAUUUCUGCCCUAUCAACUUUCGACGGCUGGGUCUUGGCCAGCCAUGGUGGCAACGGGUAACGGAGGGUUAGGGCUCGACCCCGGAGAAGGAGCCUGAGAAACGGCUACUACAUCCAAGGAAGGCAGCAGGCGCGCAAAUUACCCAAUCCCGACACGGGGAGGUAGUGACAAUAAAUACUGAUACAGGGCUCUUUUGGGUCUUGUAAUUGGAAUGAGUACAAUUUAAAUCCCUUAACGAGGAACAAUUGGAGGGCAAGUCUGGUGCCAGCAGCCGCGGUAAUUCCAGCUCCAAUAGCGUAUAUUAAAGUUGUUGAGGUUAAAAAGCUCGUAGUUGAACCUUGGGCUCGGCUCGUCGGUCCGCCUCACCGCGUGCACUGACUGGGUCGGGCCUUUUUUCCUGGAGAACCGCAUGCCCUUCACUGGGUGUGUCGGGGAACCAGGACUUUUACCGUGAACAAAUCAGAUCGCUCAAAGAAGGCCUAUGCUCGAAUGUACUAGCAUGGAAUAAUAGAAUAGGACGUGUGGUUCUAUUUUGUUGGUUUCUAGGACCGCCGUAAUGAUUAAUAGGGACAGUCGGGGGCAUCAGUAUUCAAUUGUCAGAGGUGAAAUUCUUGGAUUUAUUGAAGACUAACUACUGCGAAAGCAUUUGCCAAGGAUGUUUUCAUUAAUCAGGAACGAAAGUUAGGGGAUCGAAGACGAUCAGAUACCGUCGUAGUCUUAACCAUAAACUAUGCCGAUUAGGGGGCGGCCGUUUAUUUUUUGACCCGUUCGGCACCUUACGAGUAAAUCAAAGA
RNAcentral lists this ribosomal RNA (1012 nucleotides) under Thermocarpiscus australiensis. RNAcentral's name for it is "SSU rRNA". It matches the Rfam family "Eukaryotic small subunit ribosomal RNA", at positions 81 to 1104 of the family's 1831-position model. Lineage: Eukaryota; Fungi; Ascomycota; Sordariomycetes; Sordariales; Chaetomiaceae. The record is from RNAcentral.